This 22-nucleotide microRNA is filed under the name Pteropus alecto (black flying fox). RNAcentral describes it as "pal-miR-9998-3p". Lineage: Eukaryota; Metazoa; Chordata; Mammalia; Chiroptera; Pteropodidae. The record is from miRBase by way of RNAcentral.
GCCCUGCCUCCUACCUGUGCUA